Molecule: long non-coding RNA, 1185 nt
Organism: Ctenopharyngodon idella (grass carp)
Lineage: Eukaryota; Metazoa; Chordata; Actinopteri; Cypriniformes; Xenocyprididae
Exons: 3
Source: RefSeq, a predicted model, not a curated record
GGUUGCUGUAGUUGACUGUUACAGAGAAACGGUUCCCUCUAGAAACAACUACAGCUGCACUCACCCUCUCCAAAUAAAGCUGAACGUUCGUUAUGUUUUGAAUAAACAACGCAAAGGUAGACAGACUUUCUAGCACAAGGUGGAGCUAGAGACACAUCUCUGAUUUACUUACAUGCCUUCAGGCGGGAGAGGAGCACAAGAAAGGAUCUCGAUCACUCAGCCUUCUCACAUCACCGUGGCAACAUGGAUCAGUCUGACCCAGGAGAGGCUCAGAGGGCAGAUUGGAUGCAACACACACACACGACUCAGUCGCUUCAAGCUGUGAUUUGUAAAACAUGUAGCAAACCAUAGUCAGUUCACAGGAUUUUUGGUGGCUUGGUUGAAUAGAAAACAUUCUCGUAUAACAUCACCACCUCUUUCUGUACAUUAAAAAAUAGCUUGCAAGUGACCUGAUUUUGUUAAUCAAAGUUCAUUAUUGUCUGAAUGGAGUUGCAAUCAUGUUUUGAAUCAAGAUUGUGUCCAUACAUGCUUGUGAGAGAUGUGUACAUCAUGUAGUUUCAUUAGAGGGAGAUUUCAAGUGGUCAUAACUGCAUCCUUCUCUCCAUUUGACUGAUGACUGUCAUUUACUGAUGAAGCCUCUCUUUACUUUAUGAAUUAGUGCAUGUUUUAUGGAAGUUGGUUCACACUAUUAUGUGUUCAAUUGAUGUCAGAGGUCCUGGUUGUGGAGUACAUGCAGUGGAGUCCAAAUGUCCAUUAGGAAAUAUAUAUUUACAAAUAUAUUAUUGGAUUAAAAAAUGUACAUGAAUUUCAAAAUUACUUGGUAUUUGAUAUGGCAGCAGCACUCAAGCUGACUUUAUCAUGUUGUCCAGCAUGAUUUAAAAAUAAUCUAGGUGUUGUUCUGAAUUUCAGUAGGGUUGUGAAUUGGCAGAGAGAGUCACCUGUUUUAUUCUUGAAACAGUUUUUUCUUCUUCUUUUUUUUCUUUUUUUUACACAUUGUUGCUGCAUCCCAAUUUGCCUAAUUAUGCUAUGCCCUAAAAGUAGAUAAUUUUGAGUGUGUAGCAGAAGUAGGUGAGCUUUGGGACACAUUACCAUGCCAUAGUUACAGUAUCUCACAGAAGUGAGUACACCCCUCACAUUUUUGUAAAUAUUUUAUUAUUUUUCAUGUGACAACACUGAAGAAAUGAC